RNAcentral lists this ribosomal RNA (264 nucleotides) under uncultured bacterium. RNAcentral's name for it is "partial 16S ribosomal RNA". It matches the Rfam family "Bacterial small subunit ribosomal RNA", at positions 90 to 354 of the family's 1533-position model. The record is from RNAcentral.
UUUAAGUGGCGGACGGGUGAGUAACGCGUGGGUAACCUGCCGUAUACAGGGGGAUAACACUUAGAAAUAGGUGCUAAAACCGCAUAAGCGCACAGCGCCGCAUGGCGCAGUGUGAAAAACUCCGGUGGUAUACGAUGGACCCGCGUCUGAUUAGCCAGUUGGCAGGGUAACGGCCUACCAAAGCGACGAUCAGUAGCCGGCCUGAGAGGGUGGACGGCCACAUUGGGACUGAGACACGGCCCAAACUCCUACGGAAGGCAGCAG